Molecule: transfer RNA, 69 nt
Filed under: Rattus norvegicus (Norway rat)
Lineage: Eukaryota; Metazoa; Chordata; Mammalia; Rodentia; Muridae
Rfam family: tRNA
About the family: Transfer RNA (tRNA) molecules are approximately 80 nucleotides in length. Their secondary structure includes four short double-helical elements and three loops (D, anti-codon, and T loops).
Source: Rfam by way of RNAcentral
GGGGAUUUAGCUCAGUGGUAGAGCGCUUGCCUAGCAAGCGCGAGGACCUGGGUUCGGUCCCCAGCUCCG